Molecule: non-coding RNA, 721 nt
Organism: Callithrix jacchus (white-tufted-ear marmoset)
Lineage: Eukaryota; Metazoa; Chordata; Mammalia; Primates; Cebidae
Source: RefSeq, a predicted model, not a curated record
CUAAGAGAAGUUCAUAUGGUCAUGACUGAUGAUUACUAACAGGUACAAAUUCAGUGAGUCGAAGUAUGACAUAAUUGCCCGCAAAAAAGCUGUUUUGCCUUAGGUUACAAUAAGAUCAGUGGAAGGAAAGUGUGCAGAACAAACGAAGCCUUUAGUCCCACAGAUUAGACACAUGUGGAGUCUCCUGUUGCUGCAUUUUACGAGGGUCAUCGACUUACUGGAAUUUAGAAGGAGAAAGAUGGCCAGGAUGAUAGUCUGCGCCCUCUGAGGAAAAGAUGGGCCCACUCAUUCCACCUCUGAAAGCUCAGUCCUGCCCUGUGUGCAAACUGCCUCACAUGCAGCUCCACAUGCCCUCAGACCUCAGCGGGAGCAGGGCCCAGUGCCCUGGCAUUGGAUGCUGUGUCCUCUCAGUCACUGCUCUUUUCAUCGAGAAGCUGUGAUCCCAGAGAAGUAAUCCUCCCUAGAAAUACACAGAUCUGAAGAAGUUCAACAAGAUCCAAACAGGAACUACCAAAGGUCAUUGCCAAACCUGAAGGCUGGCAGCAGAAGACAGAUUUCCUCCCCGGGCAAGGCCCUUCUAGUGAGUACUGCCACCCAUUCUCUAAAAGAAGCUUUAGAAAAUUAGUCUGGAAUGUCUAGAAUUUAUUCCAGAAAAUGGAUCUGGAAAAUUAGCAAAACCUCUUCUUAAACAGCUGCUUAAAAAAAUAAAAAUUACCUUCCA